Molecule: ribosomal RNA, 492 nt
Filed under: uncultured bacterium
Lineage: Bacteria
Description: partial 16S ribosomal RNA
Rfam family: Bacterial small subunit ribosomal RNA
Source: RNAcentral
AGUGAACGCUGGCGGUAGGCCUAACACAUGCAAGUCGAACGGCAGCACAGUAAGAGCUUGCUCUUACGGGUGGCGAGUGGCGGACGGGUGAGGAAUACAUCGGAAUCUACUUUUUCGUGGGGGAUAACGUAGGGAAACUUACGCUAAUACCGCAUACGACCUACGGGUGAAAGCAGGGGAUCUUCGGACCUUGCGCGAUUGAAUGAGCCGAUGUAGGAUUAGCUAGUUGGCGGGGUAAAGGCCCACCAAGGCGACGAUCCGUAGCUGGUCUGAGAGGAUGAUCAGCCACACUGGAACUGCGACACGGUCCAGACUCCUACGGGAGGCAGCAGUGGGGAAUAUUGGACAAUGGGCGCAAGCCUGAUCCAGCCAUACCGCGUGGGUGAAGAAGGCCUUCGGGUUGUAAAGCCCUUUUGUUGGGAAAGAAAAGCAGCAGGUUAAUACCCCGCUGUUCUGACGUUACCCAAAGAAUAAGCACCGGCUAACUUCGUG